Molecule: ribosomal RNA, 496 nt
Filed under: uncultured bacterium
Lineage: Bacteria
Description: partial 16S ribosomal RNA
Rfam family: Bacterial small subunit ribosomal RNA
Source: RNAcentral
AUGAACGCUGGCGGCGUGCCUAAUACCUGCAAGUCGCGCGAACAGACGAGAAGCUUGCUUUUCUGAUGUUAGCGGCGGACGGGUGAGUAACACGUGGAUAACCUACCUAUAAGACUGGGAUAACUUCGGGAAACCGGAGCUAAUACCGGAUAAUAUUUUGAACCGCAUGGUUCAAAAGUGAAAGACGGUCUUGCUGUCACUUAUAGAUGGAUCCGCGCUGCAUUAGCUAGUUGGUAAGGUAACGGCUUACCAAGGCAACGAUGCAUAGCCGACCUGAGAGGGUGAUCGGCCACACUGGAACUGAGACACGGUCCAGACUCCUACGGGAGGCAGCAGUAGGGAAUCUUCCGCAAAGGGCGAAAGCCUGACGGAGCAACGCCGCGUGAGUGAUGAAGGUCUUCGGAUCGUAAAACUCUGUUAUUAGGGAAGAACAUAUGUGUAAGUAACUGUGCACAUCUUGACGGUACCUAAUCAGAAAGCCACGGCUAACUACGUG